This 247-nucleotide ribosomal RNA is filed under the name uncultured bacterium. Its description in RNAcentral is "partial 16S ribosomal RNA". It matches the Rfam family "Bacterial small subunit ribosomal RNA", at positions 523 to 769 of the family's 1533-position model. The record is from RNAcentral.
AUACGUAGGGGGCAAGCGUUGUCCGGAAUGAUUGGGCGUAAAGGGCGCGUAGGCGGCUUUGUAAGUCUGGAGUGAAAGUCCUGCUUUUAAGGUGGGAAUUGCUUUGGAUACUGUCGGGCUUGAGUGCAGGAGAGGUAAGUGGAAUUCCCGGUGUAGCGGUGAAAUGCGUAGAGAUCGGGAGGAACACCAGUGGCGAAGGCGACUUACUGGACUGUAACUGACGCUGAGUCACGAAAGCGUGGGUAGC